GGGAUAGUACUCAAGAGGCUGAAGAGGACACACUGCUAAUGUGUUAGGGGAGGCAACUCCCGCGAAGGUUCAAAUCCUUUCUAUCCCGCCA
Molecule: transfer RNA, 91 nt
Filed under: Mycoplasma iguanae
Lineage: Bacteria; Bacillati; Mycoplasmatota; Mollicutes; Mycoplasmatales; Mycoplasmataceae
Description: tRNA-Ser
Rfam family: tRNA
About the family: Transfer RNA (tRNA) molecules are approximately 80 nucleotides in length. Their secondary structure includes four short double-helical elements and three loops (D, anti-codon, and T loops).
Source: RNAcentral